RNAcentral lists this long non-coding RNA (431 nucleotides) under Brassica napus (rape). RNAcentral's name for it is "long non-coding RNA (BNAP_LNC018774)". The record is from RNAcentral. Lineage: Eukaryota; Viridiplantae; Streptophyta; Magnoliopsida; Brassicales; Brassicaceae.
UGUAGUUUUGUCUUAUAUGUAGGUGCGGUUUUUGACUUUAGGAAGACUCAAUGUGGAAGAAAAUAUGACGAGAAACAGAGGAAAAAGAUAGGUAAAACAAGAGAAUGAAACAAAAAAAAUACAACUCCUUCACUAAAAGUAAGUCGGGACAUCUAUUUAACAUUUUUAAAACAAUUCUUGUAUCUAUGUUUUAGUAUGUGCUUAACCCUCUUUAGUCAUUAUUACUCCAGUGUGUUGGUGUUCAUGAUGUGGUUGAUAUAUAUAUAUAUAUAUAUAUAUAUAUAUAUAUAUAUGUGUGUGUGUGUGUCGUCUAUGCUCUGCAAGUAUCUGUUGCUAGGGUUCAUCUUCAUAAAAGCCGGAAAGAUACUGUGAAAAAGGUAAUGUCUAUAGAAACUCAUGAACGCUCAGUAGGAGAAUCUCUAUAACCUUUU